RNAcentral lists this ribosomal RNA (253 nucleotides) under uncultured bacterium. RNAcentral describes it as "partial 16S ribosomal RNA". It matches the Rfam family "Bacterial small subunit ribosomal RNA", at positions 524 to 776 of the family's 1533-position model. The record is from RNAcentral.
UACGAAGGGGGCUAGCGUUGCUCGGAAUCACUGGGCGUAAAGGGUGCGUAGGCGGGUCUUUAAGUCAGGGGUGAAAUCCUGGAGCUCAACUCCAGAACUGCCUUUGAUACUGAAGAUCUUGAGUUCGGGUGAGGUGAGUGGAACUGCGAGUGUAGAGGUGAAAUUCGUAGAUAUUCGCAAGGACACCAGUGGCGAAGGCGGCUCACUGGCCCGAUACUGACGCUGAGGCACGAAAGCGUGGGGAGCAAACAGG